This 1011-nucleotide long non-coding RNA is filed under the name Brachypodium distachyon (stiff brome). RNAcentral's name for it is "long non-coding RNA (BDIS_LNC000209)". The record is from RNAcentral. Lineage: Eukaryota; Viridiplantae; Streptophyta; Magnoliopsida; Poales; Poaceae.
GAUAUAUACUACAGCUAGCUGCUAAUUCUCAUUUAGCUCCCGGGGGCGAAGUUGGUAGCAAAGGCCCAUGCAUUGUUGUUGACUGGGUCGGCGACGUGGUCGAAGAGGUUCUCGACGGGUCCCUUGCCCGUGACGAUGGCCUGCACGAAGAAUCCAAACAUGGAGAACAUGGCGAGGCGGCCGUUCUUGAGCUCCUUGACCUUGAGCUCAGCGGCGGUGUCUGGGUCGUCGGCGAGACCGAGGGGGUCAAAGGCGCCACCGGGGUAGAUCUUGUCGAGCCCCUCACCGAGAGGGCCUCCACCAACACGGUAACCCUCGAUGAAGCCCAUGAGCACAACUUGGCAUGCCCAAAUGGCGAGGAUGCUCUGCGCGUGCACGAGGUUAGGGUUGCCCAGGUAGUCCAGGCCGCCCUCGGAGAAGAUCUGCGAGCCGGCCUUGAACCACACCGCCUCGCCGAACUUGACACCAUUCUUGGAGAGGAUCUCCGGGAACACGCACCCGAGCGCGCCAAGCAUCGCCCAACGAGAGUGGAUCACCUCGAGCUCCCUGUUCUUGGCGAACGUCUCUGGGUCAGCUGACAACCCCGCGGUGUCCCAGCCGUAGUCACCGGGGAACUCGCCGGUCAGGUACGACGGCGUCUGCUCGGAGAACGGGCCCAGGUACUUGGGACGGUCAGGGCCGUACCUAUAUAUACACGCACGGUCAUUUCAUCACCAUUAAUUUCAUUCAGGCGAAGCCAAUUGCGCGGUACUUGAUGCAUGUAGUACAUAGAAAUGUAGCUUUGGACGAAGAAAAAGAUAUACUUACCAGAUGCUCUGGGGUGCGCUCUUGACAGUCCGGCGCAUGGUGAUGCGGCCGCCGAAGUCGCCGACGCUGCGGACGAGGUCAUCGCGGCGUGGGGCGGUGCCGAGGAAGCUGGUGGUCUGGUGCAGCGCCGACGCGGCCAUUUCGAUCCCAAUUCAAGUGGUAAGGUCAGUGAGAGAUGAGCUGGUGGCUGGUGUUGUUUGAGUG